GGGAAUGCUGCCUGGGGGAGGGGGCCGGAGCCAGGAUGACAGCCUGAGUGAUGGGACUUUGUGAUGGAGCCUCACACUGAGCAGAAAGAAAUCUAGCUAUUUCUCCAAAAGAAGUACCUGUAUUGAGGA
Eubalaena glacialis (North Atlantic right whale) is the source of this 129-nucleotide long non-coding RNA. RefSeq lists it as uncharacterized. The transcript is spliced from 3 exons. NCBI's taxonomy places the organism in Eukaryota, Metazoa, Chordata, Mammalia, Artiodactyla, Balaenidae. The record is from RefSeq and is a predicted model, not a curated record.